UACAGAGGUCUCAAGCGUUGUUCGGAUUCAUUGGGCGUAAAGGGUGCGUAGGCGGCGCGGUAAGUCGGGUGUGAAAUCUUGGAGCUUAACUCCGAAACUGCAUUCGAUACUGCCGUGCUUGAGGACUGGAGAGGAGACUGGAAUUUACGGUGUAGCGGUGAAAUGCGUAGAUAUCGUAAGGAAGACCAGUGGCGAAGGCGGGUCUCUGGACAGUUCCUGACGCUGAGGCACGAAGGCUAGGGGAGCAAACGGG
RNAcentral lists this ribosomal RNA (253 nucleotides) under uncultured bacterium. RNAcentral's name for it is "partial 16S ribosomal RNA". It matches the Rfam family "Bacterial small subunit ribosomal RNA", at positions 524 to 776 of the family's 1533-position model. The record is from RNAcentral.